Molecule: non-coding RNA, 223 nt
Filed under: Paraliobacillus sp. PM-2
Lineage: Bacteria; Bacillati; Bacillota; Bacilli; Caryophanales; Bacillaceae
Also listed under: 1 other name
Description: T-box
Rfam family: T-box leader
About the family: Uncharged tRNA acts as the effector for transcription antitermination of genes in the T-box leader family. T-boxes are found upstream of many aminoacyl-tRNA synthetase genes and some amino acid biosynthetic genes usually in Gram-positive bacteria.
Source: RNAcentral
UGUAGAACGAAGAAGAGGAAAAGUAUAAACAGUCGUUACUUAUUCAGAGAGAAUCACCUUGGCUGAAAGUGAUUUUAAGUACAUGUUUAGAACAUGCACCUCAGAGUCCUUUGUUGAAUCGGAGUAAACAAAGGCGGUACGCUCACCGUUAUAGGAGCCAAAAGUAGAGGGAAUCAAGCUGAUUUUCUAAACAGAGUGGGACCGCGCAAAAAGCGUCUCUGUG